Molecule: ribosomal RNA, 482 nt
Filed under: uncultured bacterium
Lineage: Bacteria
Description: bacterial SSU rRNA
Rfam family: Bacterial small subunit ribosomal RNA
Source: RNAcentral
CUACGUGCCAGCAGCCGCGGUAAUACGGAGGAUACGAGCGUUAUCCGGAAUUAUUGGGUUUAAAGGGUGCGUAGGUGGCGUAUUAAGUCAGUGGUGAAAAGCUGCAGCUCAACUGUAGUCUUGCCGUUGAAACCGAUAUGCUAGAGAGGAGACGAGGUAUGCGGAAUGUGUGGUGUAGCGGUGAAAUGCAUAGAUAUCACACAGAACGCCGAUUGCGAAGGCAGCGUACCAGGCUCCGUCUGACACUGAAGCACGAAAGCGUGGGGAUCAAACAGGAUUAGAUACCCUGGUAGUCCACGCAGUAAACGAUGAAUACUAGAUUUUUGCGAUAUAGUGUAAGAGUCUAAGCGAAAGCGAUAAGUAUUCCACCUGGGGAGUACGCCGGCAACGGUGAAACUCAAAGGAAUUGACGGGGGCCCGCACAAGCGGAGGAACAUGUGGUUUAAUUCGAUGAUACGCGAGGAACCUUACCCGGGAUUGAA